GGGGUUGUGGUUCAGUGGUAGAGCACUCGCCUAGCAUGUGUGAAUCCCUGGGUUCGAUCCUCAGCACCA
RNAcentral lists this transfer RNA (69 nucleotides) under Ictidomys tridecemlineatus (thirteen-lined ground squirrel). RNAcentral describes it as "Spermophilus tridecemlineatus (thirteen-lined ground squirrel) tRNA". It matches the Rfam family "tRNA". Rfam says of the family: Transfer RNA (tRNA) molecules are approximately 80 nucleotides in length. Their secondary structure includes four short double-helical elements and three loops (D, anti-codon, and T loops). Further hydrogen bonds mediate the characteristic L-shaped molecular structure. tRNAs have two regions of fundamental functional importance: the anti-codon, which is responsible for specific mRNA codon recognition, and the 3' end, to which the tRNAs corresponding amino acid is attached (by aminoacyl-tRNA synthetases). tRNAs cope with the degeneracy of the genetic code in two manners: having more than one tRNA (with a specific anti-codon) for a particular amino acid; and 'wobble' base-pairing, i.e. permitting non-standard base-pairing at the 3rd anti-codon position. The record is from Rfam by way of RNAcentral. Lineage: Eukaryota; Metazoa; Chordata; Mammalia; Rodentia; Sciuridae.